Molecule: ribosomal RNA, 973 nt
Filed under: Cerrena zonata
Lineage: Eukaryota; Fungi; Basidiomycota; Agaricomycetes; Polyporales; Cerrenaceae
Description: partial large subunit ribosomal RNA
Rfam family: Eukaryotic large subunit ribosomal RNA
Source: RNAcentral
ACCCCGGCUGACUAAGCAUAUCAAUAAGCGGAGGAAAAGAAACUAACAAGGGAUUCCCCUAGUAACUGCGAGUGAAGCGGGAAAAGCUCAAAUUUAAAAUCUGGCGGUCUUUGGCUGUCCGAGUUGUAGUCUGGAGAAGCGUUUUCCGCGCUGGACCGUGUACAAGUCCCUUGGAAUAGGGCGUCAUAGAGGGUGAGAAUCCCGUCUUUGACACGGACUACCAGUGCUUUGUGAUGCGCUCUCAAAGAGUCGAGUUGUUUGGGAAUGCAGCUCAAAAUGGGUGGUAAAUUCCAUCUAAAGCUAAAUAUUGGCGAGAGACCGAUAGCGAACAAGUACCGUGAGGGAAAGAUGAAAAGCACUUUGGAAAGAGAGUUAAACAGUACGUGAAAUUGCUAAAAGGGAAACGCUUGAAGUCAGUCGCGUUAUGCAGAACUCAGCCUGGCUUUUGCUUGGUGUAUUUUCUGUAUGACGGGCCAGCAUCAAUUUUGGCCGCUGGAAAAAGGCCUCAGAAAUGUGGCACCUUCGGGUGUGUUAUAGUCUGAGGUCAUAUACAGCGGCUGGGAUUGAGGUCUGCAGCACGCCUUUAUGGCUGGGGUUCGCCCACAUUCGUGCUUAGGAUGCUGGCGUAAUGGCUUUAAACGACCCGUCUUGAAACACGGACCAAGGAGUCUAACAUGCCUGCGAGUGUUUGGGUGGAAAACCCGAGCGCGCAAUGAAAGUGAAAGUUGAGAUCCCUGUCGUGGGGAGCAUCGACGCCCGGACCAGACCUUUUGUGACGGAUCUGCGGUAGAGCAUGUAUGUUGGGACCCGAAAGAUGGUGAACUAUGCCUGAAUAGGGUGAAGCCAGAGGAAACUCUGGUGGAGGCUCGUAGCGAUUCUGACGUGCAAAUCGAUCGUCAAAUUUGGGUAUAGGGGCGAAAGACUAAUCGAACCAUCUAGUAGCUGGUUCCUGCCGAAGUUUCCCCUCAGGAUA